Molecule: unclassified non-coding RNA, 348 nt
Filed under: soil metagenome
Description: partial contains 5.8S ribosomal RNA, internal transcribed spacer 2, and large subunit ribosomal RNA
Rfam family: 5.8S ribosomal RNA (bases 1-120)
Source: RNAcentral
GAUGAAGAACGUAGCGAGAUGCGAUAAGUAAUGUGAAUUGCAGAAUUCAGUGAAUCAUCGAGUCUUUGAACGCACAUUGCGCCCCCUGGUAUUCCGGGGGGCAUGCCUGUCCGAGCGUCAUUGCUGCCCUCAAGCACGGCUUGUGUGUUGGGCCCCCGUCCCCGGUUUCCCCCGGGGACGGGCCCGAAAGGCAGCGGCGGCACCGCGUCCGGUCCUCGAGCGUAUGGGGCUUUGUCACCCGCUCUGUAGGCCCGGCCGGCGCCAGCCGACACCCAACUUUAUUUCUAAGGUUGACCUCGGAUCAGGUAGGGAUACCCGCUGAACUUAAGCAUAUCAAUAAGCGGAGGA